RNAcentral lists this long non-coding RNA (243 nucleotides) under Brachypodium distachyon (stiff brome). RNAcentral describes it as "long non-coding RNA (BDIS_LNC002960)". The record is from RNAcentral. Lineage: Eukaryota; Viridiplantae; Streptophyta; Magnoliopsida; Poales; Poaceae.
ACUUAGAUCUCUGGCCGCAAAGGAUUGAUCGGGUCUGGCUGAUCUAGCUACUGCUACUCGAUGAUCAAUCUGUCUGUUCCUCUUUCUUUCUUUCUUUCUUUCUUUCUUUCUUUCUUUUUGCGACUGAAAUGUGUUAGGAUGAUCUCCUCCCGAGUGGGCCGUUAGGCCCACCGGCCCCUUAGAUCUACAACGUCCUGAUCGGGGGCGCCCAAUCCACUAUGGUUGGCGGGCCCCUGUUACACU